This is a long non-coding RNA of Nothoprocta perdicaria, 513 nucleotides long. RefSeq lists it as uncharacterized. NCBI's taxonomy places the organism in Eukaryota, Metazoa, Chordata, Aves, Tinamiformes, Tinamidae. The transcript is spliced from 8 exons. The record is from RefSeq and is a predicted model, not a curated record.
UUUCAGCGUGAAGCGGCGCGGGGGUCGCAGGAUAAGAUGCCUCAGAUAAAUACUUUCUCCUUUGGAGCAAAGCAGAUCUGCCCUGSAAGUUGGAGACUUGCUACUUCACAAGGCUUUCAAUCAUGCACUUUGAAGACUUAAAGAAAGAUAACCUGGCACUGAAAGAUGAAGCAUUAAGCUGUGCAAGGCUUCUCAGGAGAGAACGAUGUAGAAUGUCUGUGCAAGGGAAGAAACUUUCAGCUGUUGAAGAGAAGGCCUUGCUUGACUGAAGUUUUUCAGAGUGCUUCUGGAUGUGAUGGCUGGAGUGGAGCUGUUGAGCCAUGCAGUUGGUAGCAUUGCCAGCAAAUGUAAGUUGCUUGCAAACUGAUCAUAUGCAAGGAGUUCCCUGUGGAUUUUUUUUGAUUUUAUAUUUUGGCACUCAGUUUGAGCACUCUUUGAGAAUGGAAAUUGUACAGGCAGGAAUCUUACAGGGUUGUAAUGAUGUUGCCAAAUGUCUGACCUGAAGCAAUAAUG